ACGCGUGAGAAUCUGCCUUCAGGUCGGGACAACCACUGGAAACGGUGGCUAAUACCCGAUGUGCGCAACGUGAAAGAUUUAUCGCCUGAAGAGGAGCUCGCGUCUGAUUAGCUAGUUGGUGGGGUAAAAGCUCACCAAGGCGACGAUCAGUAGCUGGUCUGAGAGGAUGAUCAGCCACACUGGGACUGAGACACGGCCCAGACUCCUACGGGAGGCAGCAGUGGGGAAUUUUCCGCAAUGGGCGAAAGCCUGACGGAGCAAGACCGCGUGAGGGAGGAAGGCUCUUGGGUUGUAAACCUCUUUUCUCAGGGAAGAACAAAAUGACGGUACCUGAGGAAUCAGCCUCGGCUAACUCCGUGCCAGCAGCCGCGGUAAUACGGAGGAGGCAAGCGUUAUCCGGAAUUAUUGGGCGUAAAGCGUCCGCAGGUGGCACUUCAAGUCUGUCGUCAAAGACUGGGGCUUAACCCUGGAAAGGCGGUGGAAACUGAAGCGCUAGAGUGUGGUAGGGGUAGAGGGAAUUCCCGGUGUAGCGGUGAAAUGCGUAGAGAUCGGGAAGAACAUCGGUGGCGAAAGCGCUCUACUGGACCACAACUGACACUCAGGGACGAAA
RNAcentral lists this ribosomal RNA (610 nucleotides) under Phormidium corium 0416. RNAcentral describes it as "bacterial SSU rRNA". It matches the Rfam family "Bacterial small subunit ribosomal RNA", at positions 113 to 758 of the family's 1533-position model. Lineage: Bacteria; Bacillati; Cyanobacteriota; Cyanophyceae; Oscillatoriales; Oscillatoriaceae. The record is from RNAcentral.